GAAGUGGGCCAGACCGCCGCUGGCACACCGGCCGAAAGGCCGUGCUGGAGGAAGGUCCGGACUGCACAGGGCAGCGCAGCAGCCAACGGCUGUCCACCGCAAGGUGAGGAUCAGAGCAACAGAGACGAGUCGGUGGGGUUCGCCCUGCCGGGUGAAACGGGCAAUCUCUGCGCGCAGCAACACCAAAUAGGCCAGCGUCGAUGUGGCUCCGCGGAGCUGGCGGGUAGGUGGCACCGAGCCGUUCCCGCGAGGGGCGGCCCAGAGGAAUGGCGGUCACGGCCGCGACGCCGCAAGGCGCCGCGGCUGCACAGAAUCCGGCCUAUCGGCCCGCUUCACAC
RNAcentral lists this RNase P RNA (338 nucleotides) under Methylibium petroleiphilum. Its description in RNAcentral is "RNase P RNA component class A". It matches the Rfam family "Bacterial RNase P class A". From Rfam's summary of the family: Ribonuclease P (RNase P) is a ubiquitous endoribonuclease, found in archaea, bacteria and eukarya as well as chloroplasts and mitochondria. Lineage: Bacteria; Pseudomonadati; Pseudomonadota; Betaproteobacteria; Burkholderiales; Sphaerotilaceae. The record is from RNAcentral.